This 77-nucleotide unclassified non-coding RNA is filed under the name Devosia psychrophila. RNAcentral's name for it is "suhB". Lineage: Bacteria; Pseudomonadati; Pseudomonadota; Alphaproteobacteria; Hyphomicrobiales; Devosiaceae. The record is from RNAcentral.
GGCCUCGGCCUCUAGGGCUAGUCUCCCCAAGAAUUCGAAAAAUCCGGCCCCGUGCCGGGUUUUUUGUUUUGUGGCGG